AGAGUUUGAUCCUGGCUCAGAUUGAACGCUGGCGGCAUGCCUAACACAUGCAAGUCGAACGAGGGUAGCAAUACCUUAGUGGCGGACGGGUGAGGAAUACGUAGGAAUUUGCCCUUAAGUGGGGGAUAGCCCGGGGAAACCCGGAUUAAUACCGCAUGAUCUCGAAAGAGCAAAGUGGGGGAUCGCAAGACCUCACGCUUUUGGAGAAGCCUACGUCGGAUUAGCUAGUUGGUGAGGUAAUGGCUCACCAAGGCGACGAUCCGUAACUGGUCUGAGAGGAUGAUCAGUCACACCGGAACUGAGACACGGUCCGGACUCCUACGGGAGGCAGCAGUGGGGAAUAUUGGACAAUGGGCGCAAGCCUGAUCCAGCAAUGCCGCGUGUGUGAAGAAGGCCUUCGGGUUGUAAAGCACUUUAAGUUGGGAAGAAAAAACUCGCUCUAACACAGUGAGUCUUGACGGUACCGACAGAAUAAGCACCGGCUAACUCUGUGCCAGCAGCCGCGGUAAUACAGAGGGUGCAAGCGUUAAUCGGAUUUACUGGGCGUAAAGCGUGCGUAGGCGGUUUGCUAAGUCGGUUGUGAAAGCCCUGGGCUUAACCUGGGAAUUGCAGUCGAUACUGGCAGACUAGAGAACGGUAGAGGGAGGCGGAACUCCAGGUGUAGCGGUGAAAUGCGUAGAUAUCUGGAAGAACACCGAUGGCGA
This 704-nucleotide ribosomal RNA is filed under the name uncultured bacterium. RNAcentral's name for it is "bacterial SSU rRNA". It matches the Rfam family "Bacterial small subunit ribosomal RNA", at positions 8 to 718 of the family's 1533-position model. The record is from RNAcentral.